Molecule: long non-coding RNA, 395 nt
Filed under: Nicotiana benthamiana
Lineage: Eukaryota; Viridiplantae; Streptophyta; Magnoliopsida; Solanales; Solanaceae
Description: long non-coding RNA (NBEN_LNC039547)
Source: RNAcentral
UGCGUACAUACUAGCCUCCCCAGAUCUUACUAAGUAAGAAUAUACUGGAUUGUUGUUGUUAUUGUCUUCCUUUAUAUACGCAGAAAAACAAAAAUUACCAAGGGGGUGUAAGAGAAAAUAAACUUACAUAUAAACAUGAAAAUCAGUAAACUUUGUUUGAAGUUGCUCGUCAGUGUAGAAAAGGCGUUCGUUGUCGGAGUACUGGGAGCUCAUAAGAAGAAUGACGAGUGCACCCACGAGGGAUACAAAGGCAACAAGUCUCACUACCAAUAUUACUGCUUUUCCCAUCUUCUUCAAACCUUCUCUAAUUCCCUCCUGAUUAUUACCAAUUAUUUCUUCUUUGUCCAUCUUUAUUUAUAAGAUUUUAGGAACAUCAAAUUUGUCAACUCUUUGAC